RNAcentral lists this ribosomal RNA (497 nucleotides) under uncultured bacterium. Its description in RNAcentral is "bacterial SSU rRNA". It matches the Rfam family "Bacterial small subunit ribosomal RNA", at positions 29 to 507 of the family's 1533-position model. The record is from RNAcentral.
AACGAACGCUGGGCGGCGUGCCUAACACAUGCAAGUCGAACGCGAAAGUCCUUCGGGAUGAGUAAAGUGGCGCACGGGUGAGUAACACGUAGGUGACCUGCCUUUAGAGGGGAAUAACCAGAAGAAAUUUUGGCUAAUGCCGCAUACGAAGUACAAAUCUUAAAGUAGUACUUGAAAGGAUGCCUCUGUAUAUGCAUCCACUAAAAGAUGGGCCUGCGGGACAUUAGCUAGUUGGUGGGUAAAGGCCUACCAAGGCGACGAUGUCUAUCCGGUCUGAGAGGAUGAUCGGACACACUGGAACUGAGACACGGUCCAGACUCCUACGGGAGGCAGCAGUGGGGAAUAUUGCGCAAUGGGGGAAACCCUGACGCAGCAACGCCGCGUGAGUGAGGAAGGACUUCGGUCUGUAAAGCUCUGUUAAUGUGGAAAAAUGGCAUCGGGUCUAAUAGGCCUGGUGUUUGAUGGUACACAUAGAGGAAGCACCGGCUAACUUCGUG